Long non-coding RNA from Ictalurus punctatus (channel catfish), 682 nucleotides. The record is from Ensembl. NCBI's taxonomy places the organism in Eukaryota, Metazoa, Chordata, Actinopteri, Siluriformes, Ictaluridae.
GAUUGAACAGCUCUGUGCGCGCCUGACCUAACACACUCGGACUCGGAAACACUGAGAAAUAAUGAGAAAUAUUUAUGAUUCGUCUUUCUUACGCGACUCUUUGUUAAUGAAGUCGUUGUGCUGUUGCUAUAGCAACAGUGAAUACACCACUAAGCGUGGGUGAUCACGCUAAUGCUGGGAGGUUUUUUGUUAUUACAUCGCCGGGAAUGUGAUACAGCACUGCCUUAACCCUCUUGGGCCUGGAGUUCACCAGAGCUUCACAAGUUGCCACUGUAGUCCUCUUCCACUCCUCCAUGAUGACAUCACAGAGCUGGUGGAUGUUAGAGACCUUGUGCUCCUCCACUUUCCGUUUGAGGAUGCCACACAGAUGCUCAAAAGGAUUUAGGUCUGGAGACAUGCUUGGCCAGUUCAUCACCUUCGCCCUCAGCUUCUUUAACAAGGCAGUGGUCAUCUUGGAGGUGUGUUUGGGGUCGUUAUCAUGCUGGAAUACUGCAUACUGAUCAUGUUCUGCUUCAGUAUGUCACAGUACAAGUUGCCAUUCAUGGUUAUCUCAAUGAACUCUAGCUCCCCAGUGUCGGCAGCACUCAUGCAGCCCCAGACCAUGACACUCCCACCACCAUGCUUGAAUGUAGGCAAGACACACUUGUCUUUGUACUCCUCACCUGGUUGCCGCCACACACGC